UCUUUCUAGAUUAACUUUGGCUUUCAGGUGAAAGAAUCAUUUGAAGAUAUUCUCUAGACUUAAGGGGAAGGUGAACUCAGUUGCGACUUCCCUAAGCAAGUCUGUUCAGCCCACAAAGGAAACCAUCCCAGGCAGUUUGAGAUCAUGUUCUUUAUAUCCCUUUUCCCUUAGUUUCAGACAAUAGUUGGGAUUCCACAGUGGCUGGUUCCAGUUUCUGAGUAUUACCUCCAUCCUGUAGAUAUUGCAGGAUCUAGGCAUGUAGGGGUCCAGGUCCACCCCCUUCCCCAAGCACACCUGUAUGCCACCAACACACUGGACUGACUGGGUUUACUUAGCAACUCACAUUGUUCAAAAUCUCAAGCCGACCUUUCCUCUUUAUGUUAAUUUGUGUCAAGCAGGUUUAGUCUUUAGAUCCCUACAGAUUUUUUCAACACACUAGGAAAAACAGAGUACUACAAUUUUGCUCUUGAAUAAUACUUAAACUAAAACAAGCAAAAAUUAACAUUCACAUACAGAUUAUCAUCCUUAUGUUAAGAAUGUUCUCAAUGCACCUUACUUUCUUCUGUCUUGGUGUUCCUAAGAAUGGUUUGGUUGCUUUUAAAUCAUAAACUGCUGGGUGCAGUGGUGCCCAUCUAUAACCCCAGCAACUCAGUAGGCUGAAGCAGAAUCAAAAGUUCAAAGCCAGUCUCAGCAAUUUAAUGAGGCCCUGAGUUAGCCAGACCCUGUUUCAAAAUUUUAAAAAAAGGACUGGAGAUGUUACUUAGUGGUAAAGCGCCCCAGGUUUAAUCCCCAGUGCCAAAAAAUAAGAAAAUGAAAA
RNAcentral lists this long non-coding RNA (817 nucleotides) under Marmota monax (woodchuck). The record is from RNAcentral. Lineage: Eukaryota; Metazoa; Chordata; Mammalia; Rodentia; Sciuridae.